This 290-nucleotide small RNA is filed under the name Nostoc sp. PCC 7524. Its description in RNAcentral is "5' ureB small RNA". It matches the Rfam family "5' ureB small RNA". Lineage: Bacteria; Bacillati; Cyanobacteriota; Cyanophyceae; Nostocales; Nostocaceae. The record is from Rfam by way of RNAcentral.
CAACUUCAAUCUGUUGCGGACAAAUAAAAUGAAUAUGGCUAUCAAUACCACCAGCCGUGAGAAUCAUUCCUUCACCGGCUAAGGCUUCCGUACCGGGUCCAAUAAUAAUAUCUAUAUUGUCUUGAAUAUAUGGAUUACCUGCUUUCCCAAUUUUAAAGAUUUUGCCGUCUUUAAUGCCGAUGUCUGCUUUGACUAUUCCCCACCAGUCGAGAAUCAAAGCAUUGGUAAUAACUAAAUCUACUGCACCAUCAGCCUUAGAAAUGGGAGAUUGUCCCAUCCCAUCGCGGAUG